Molecule: long non-coding RNA, 500 nt
Organism: Homo sapiens (human)
Lineage: Eukaryota; Metazoa; Chordata; Mammalia; Primates; Hominidae
Gene: FAM242F
Product: family with sequence similarity 242 member F
Source: Ensembl
UUUCCCCUAUCACUCAGGCACUGGCAGGGUCCUUUGCCCACUCCUGUUGGCCGCUGCGGCUCCAAAGCGAGCUGGGCAGAUGUGCCUGACACAGGUUUGACCAGGCAACUGAAAAGACAUCUCUAAGAGAAGACAAAGCAAAGGUAUGAAAGGAACACACGUCCCUGACUGACUAGGAGGAACAGAGCUGCCUGCUAUCUGGAACAACUUCCUCCCAGACUAAGUACAGCUGUUGGGAGAUGCCUCUCCCGCCCUCAAUCUCCCUGUCUGUGGUUCCAGAGGGAAGAAGAGUGGGGAAAAAAGGAUGAAGAGAAUUGUUUCAGUGCUGGGGGAGGUGAGCUUAUAGCAGGGAUUUAGAUGGGAAUUACCUCAUGGGAUAGGAGCAGUUUUCUCCCUCUCCAGGCCUCUCACAGAUGUGAAACAACUGGCAGAUCUGACUUUCCCACCCCUAACCAUCGGAGGGGAUGAUGUGUCUUGAAACCUGUGCUUCUCUAUUGAGA